This 257-nucleotide unclassified non-coding RNA is filed under the name uncultured fungus. RNAcentral describes it as "partial contains 5.8S ribosomal RNA, internal transcribed spacer 2, and large subunit ribosomal RNA". The record is from RNAcentral. Lineage: Eukaryota; Fungi.
AACGCACAUUGCGCCCGCCAGUAUCCUGGCGGUGCAUGCCUGUCCGAGCGUCAUUUCUACCCGUCGAGCCCCGCUCGUGCUGGGGCCCUGCGGCCGCCGCAGGCCCUGAAAGACAGUGGCGGGACCGCCGCCGCGCCGAGCGUAGUAGCGCGAGCCUCGCUCCGGAGCGGCGCCUGUCCCGGCCGGGCCCACAGCCCCCAGCCCACGCACACAAGAAGGAUGACCUCGGAUCAGGUAGGAAUACCCGCUGAACUUAA